Non-coding RNA from Scophthalmus maximus (turbot), 714 nucleotides. The record is from the annotation of a RefSeq genome assembly. NCBI's taxonomy places the organism in Eukaryota, Metazoa, Chordata, Actinopteri, Pleuronectiformes, Scophthalmidae.
ACUGUGUGAGUGAUAAGUGCUGCUGUGAAGAGAACAACUGUCAGACUGAGUGUUGAACAUCGUCAGUUGCUCCUGUUGACUGAAACCUUGUUGUACAGAUGGAACAUUGUCUGUGGAUUAUUGCUGCUGCUCUGGUCUUUGAGUGUAAAGCACAAGACAGAGUGGUGCAGCCAGCAGGAGAUGUCACUGCUACUGAAGGAGACACACUUACACUUGGUUGUACAUUUCAGACCAGUGACUCAAAUCCUUAUCUCUACUGGUACAAACAGGAUGGAAACAACAGACCCACAUUCAUCCUGAGUCACUUUACAGUGGGUGAAGGUAAAACAGAAGACGACUUCAGGGAGAGAUUUUCAUCCACUCUGGAUUCCACCUCAAGAUCAGUUCCUCUGCAGAUCCAGAAGCUCCAGCUGUCUGACUCUGCUGUGUACUACUGUGCUCUGAGGCCCACAGUGACAGGAAACAACACAACUCUGUACAAAAACCUCUGCAGCAAACAAGUCAAUACUCCACAUGGUCCACUAGAGGGAGUCACACCCUGUCACACCUCAGUGUUUCUCUUCAUCCAGAUUCUUCUUGGUGAAGAUUCACACCAGAGAGAAUGAACAACUAAAGCUGUACUAUUUUUGGGGUGUACCACAGGGUUCAAUCAUUGGUCCUCUCAUUUUCUAAGUAACUGUUUCCAAAUUAUAUUCAAACACAACGACUGUGUCU